Molecule: long non-coding RNA, 503 nt
Organism: Cervus elaphus (red deer)
Lineage: Eukaryota; Metazoa; Chordata; Mammalia; Artiodactyla; Cervidae
Exons: 3
Source: RefSeq, a predicted model, not a curated record
GGGACUUGUAGGCGUAGGCCCUAGUGUUUGCUGCAGCGUGGGUUGGCCUUCCUCGCCCUUGUCCCUUUACAGCCCCCUCGCUCUAAAUCUGCGCGUUCCGAGAGUACUUGAUUGUAAGAAUCGUCUGCUAGGCUGAUUGAAUGCAUAGAUUAACAGAUCCAGAAAUGAGGCACAGAGUUUGUUACCCUGAUCACCUAGCUAAAGGUGGAAGAGGAGGGGUUGAACUCAGGUUUCCUGAAUCCAAAUCUUGGCAAUGUUUAGCCUACGGUGUACUACAUUUUGCGAGCUAGCUGACAUCAAAGCACGGAACCUGAAUCAAAGAAAUUUGGACGAAGACAACUUUCUCAUCCAAGUGGCUGCCAGCACCCCCGCCCCAGCUGAAGCGUUCCCUUGUUCUCGCCUGCUCUGCCCCAGAUUCAUGGGCCGCACUCGGGAUCGUUGGCAGUUUUCUCUGCACUGUCCUGACAACCUCCGGCCAUGAAAUUAAAAAGCUAGUUACCGAA